GUCGUUAUGACAGUUAAGCGAAAUUGACGUGCAUCGCAACUCGAAUUACAAAUGACGUUAGGACGCAAAACGUAUCUGGAUUUCAUGAUAUAUCAUUUUUGUUCUCUGCUUAAACAGAGCAUAUUUUUUCAUCAAUUUAGGAAUCUGAAUAGUUUUUAAAUGAAUAAUCCAUAAUCCCCCUUCUUCUUUAAAUUCAAUGGUCAUCCCUUUAUGAGCGAAGAGACAAAGGCAAUAAGUCUAAAUUAUAACAAUUCUCGUUAUUUCACAAAUUUUCUGUAUGUCUUUACGGUUUAAAAUUUACAUUUACAAAACCAAUUAGUUGUUUUUAUAAUAAUUAUGAUUGAUAUCUUAAUACAAAAUUUCUCUCUGUGAUAACAAUUAUAGUUCAAGUGGUGUCGUUUUGCACUGCCACUUAAAGUUGUCUUUAAACGGUAUUUUCUAAAUUGUCAUUUAAGUGCAAGGAUAAUUAGCUAUACAACCAUCUUCAACCGACCAAUUGUUUUCUUAAAAUGCCCUGUAUCAAGCCAGGAAUAUGUCAGUUGUUAUGAAAUCGUCCGUUUCUAUGUAUGUUGGUGUUUGUUUUUGUUCCAAUCAGUGUUUCUAUAGUUCCGUUGCUUUCCUCUUAUAUUUGAUGUGUUCCCGUCGGUUAUAAUUUGUUAUACAUAUUUGUUUUCGCUUAAUCAAUAUAUGACUAUUGAACAGCAGUAUACUAUUGUUGCCUUUAUUGGACACAAUCGUUUCUUUCUUCCAAUUGCGAUCAUUUCUAUAUCCUUCAUUACACGACUAAUCAU
RNAcentral lists this long non-coding RNA (791 nucleotides) under Mytilus galloprovincialis (Mediterranean mussel). Lineage: Eukaryota; Metazoa; Mollusca; Bivalvia; Mytilida; Mytilidae. The record is from RNAcentral.